Molecule: ribosomal RNA, 254 nt
Filed under: uncultured bacterium
Lineage: Bacteria
Description: partial 16S ribosomal RNA
Rfam family: Bacterial small subunit ribosomal RNA
Source: RNAcentral
UACGUAGGGGGCGAGCGUUGUCCGGAUUUAUUGGGCGUAAAGAGCUCGUAGGCGGUUUGGUAAGUUGGAUGUGAAAUCUCCAGGCUCAACUUGGAGGGGUCAUUCGAUACUGCCAUGACUAGAGUUCGGUAGGGGAGUGUGGAAUUCCUGGUGUAGCGGUGGAAUGCGCAGAUAUCAGGAGGAACACCAAUAGCGAAGGCAGCUCGCUGGGACGGUACUGACACUAAGGCGCGAAAGCGUGGGGAGCGAACAGG